This 985-nucleotide ribosomal RNA is filed under the name Neisseria subflava. Its description in RNAcentral is "bacterial SSU rRNA". It matches the Rfam family "Bacterial small subunit ribosomal RNA", at positions 472 to 1456 of the family's 1533-position model. The record is from RNAcentral. Lineage: Bacteria; Pseudomonadati; Pseudomonadota; Betaproteobacteria; Neisseriales; Neisseriaceae.
ACGGUACCUGAAGAAUAAGCACCGGCUAACUACGUGCCAGCAGGCGCGGUAAUACGUAGCUUGCGAGCGUUAAUCGGAAUUACUGGGCGUAAAGCGAGCGCAGACGGUUACUUAAGCAGGAUGUGAAAUCCCCGGGCUCAACCUGGGAAACUGCGUUCUGAACUGGGUGACUAGAGUGUGUCAGAGGGAGGUAGAAUUCCACGUGUAGCAGUGAAAUGCGUAGAGAUGUGGAGGAAUACCGAUGGCGAAGGCAGCCUCCUGGGAUAACACUGACGUUCAUGCUCGAAAGCGUGGGUAGCAAACAGGAUUAGAUACCCUGGUAGUCCACGCCCUAAACGAUGUCAAUUAGCUGUUGGGCAACUUGAUUGCUUAGUAGCGUAGCUAACGCGUGAAAUUGACCGCCUGGGGAGUACGGUCGCAAGAUUAAAACUCAAAGGAAUUGACGGGGACCCGCACAAGCGGUGGAUGAUGUGGAUUAAUUCGAUGCAACGCGAAGAACCUUACCUGGUCUUGACAUGUACGGAAUCCUCCAGAGACGGAGGAGUGCCUUCGGGAGCCGUAACACAGGUGCUGCAUGGCUGUCGUCAGCUCGUGUCGUGAGAUGUUGGGUUAAGUCCCGCAACGAGCGCAACCCUUGUCAUUAGUUGCCAUCAUUUAGUUGGGCACUCUAAUGAGACUGCCGGUGACAAGCCGGAGGAAGGUGGGGAUGACGUCAAGUCCUCAUGGCCCUUAUGACCAGGGCUUCACACGUCAUACAAUGGUCGGUACAGAGGGUAGCCAAGCCGCGAGGUGGAGCCAAUCUCACAAAACCGAUCGUAGUCCGGAUUGCACUCUGCAACUCGAGUGCAUGAAGUCGGAAUCGCUAGUAAUCGCAGGUCAGCAUACUGCGGUGAAUACGUUCCCGGGUCUUGUACACACCGCCCGUCACACCAUGGGAGUGGGGGAUACCAGAAGUAGGGUAGGGUAACCGCAAGGAGCCCGCUUA